CAGGGAUAAAGACCAAUUUAGUGAUGAUGAUGAUGAUGAUGAUGAUGAUACACCAACCGUUCGUCCGGUCCAAAAACCAUUCGAUUAGUAAGAUCAAGAAUUUUGAAUUAGAUUAUUGAAGGCAAUGUCAAACUGCUACCUGAUACAGAAACUACAAGAACGCAUGUGCCAGCGAGAAAAUUCACCGAAAUCGAUGGAUUUAUAAUAAUGAUGCU
Solenopsis invicta (red fire ant) is the source of this 215-nucleotide long non-coding RNA. RefSeq lists it as uncharacterized. The transcript is spliced from 2 exons. The record is from RefSeq and is a predicted model, not a curated record. NCBI's taxonomy places the organism in Eukaryota, Metazoa, Arthropoda, Insecta, Hymenoptera, Formicidae.